Molecule: ribosomal RNA, 444 nt
Filed under: uncultured prokaryote
Description: bacterial SSU rRNA
Rfam family: Bacterial small subunit ribosomal RNA
Source: RNAcentral
UGGGGAAUAUUGGACAAUGGGCGCAAGCCUGAUCCAGCAAUGCCGCGUGUGUGAAGAAGGCCUGCGGGUUGUAAAGCACUUUCAGUAGAGAAGAAAAGCUUAGGGUUAAUACCCCUUGAGUCUUGACGUUACCUACAGAAGAAGCACCGGCUAACUCCGUGCCAGCAGCCGCGGUAAUACGGAGGGUGCAAGCGUUAAUCGGAAUUACUGGGCGUAAAGCGCGCGUAGGCGGCUUAGUAAGUCGGAUGUGAAAGCCCUGGGCUCAACCUGGGAAUUGCAUUCGAUACUGCUGAGCUAGAGUAUGGUAGAGGGAAUUUCCAGUGUAGCGGUGAAAUGCGUAGAGAUUGGAAAGAACACCAGUGGCGAAGGCGCUCUACUGGACCUGUACUGACACUAAGGGACGAAAGCUAGGGGAGCGAAAGGGAUUAGAUACCCGGGUAGUCC